AUAGAUAUUCAAUGCUGGAAGGCUUGGAUAUCGAAAGCGCAAGCGCCAGAGGGUGAGUCUGCGGCCUAUCAGGUAGUAGGUGGUGUAACGGACCACCUAGCCUAAGACGGGUACGGGCCUUGAGAGAGGGAGCCCGGAGAUGGGUUCUGAGACACGAACCCAGGCCCUACGGGGCGCAGCAGGCGCGAAACCUUCGCACUGCGCGAAAGCGCGACGAGGGGAGACCGAGUGCCUCUCCUUUUUGGGGAGGCUUUUCGCAAGCCUAAAAAGCUUGUGGAAUAAGGGCUGGGCAAGACGGGUGCCAGCCGCCGCGGUAAUACCCGCAGCUCAAGUGGUGGUCGCUUUUAUUGAGCCUAAAACGUUCGUAGUCGGCCUUGUAAAUCCCUGGGUAAAUCGGGGCGCUUAACGUUUCGAAUUCCGGGGAGACUGCAAGGCUAGGGACCGGGCGAGGUCAGAGGUACUUUCGGGGUAGGAGUGAAAUCCUGUAAUCCCGAAGGGACCACCUGUGGCGAAAGCGUCUGACUUGAACGGCUCCGACGAUAAGGAACGAAGGCUAGGGGAGCAAACCGGAUUAGAUACCCGGGUAGUCCUAGCUGUAAACUCUGCCCGCUUGGUGUGGCUUGUACUUCGGGUGCAGGCUGUGCCGGAGCGAAGGUGUUAAGCGGGCUGCUUGGGGAGUACGGCCGCAAGGUUGAAACUUAAAGGAAUUGGCGGGGGAGCACCGCAACGGGAGGAUGCGUGCGGCUUAAUUGGAUCAACGCC
This 762-nucleotide ribosomal RNA is filed under the name uncultured Thermoplasmatales archaeon. Its description in RNAcentral is "bacterial SSU rRNA". It matches the Rfam family "Archaeal small subunit ribosomal RNA", at positions 156 to 919 of the family's 1478-position model. The record is from RNAcentral. Lineage: Archaea; Methanobacteriati; Thermoplasmatota; Thermoplasmata; Thermoplasmatales.